CUGAUGCGCGCCAGCCAACCAGGCCAAGGCCAGGGGACCUCGAGACCGGCAGCCUCGACGAAGAACCGGAAGGAGGAAAAGGAACGGGAGGGAGGAAGAUGAGAUGCGCCUACUUCUCCCUGGAGAAGCUCGAGGAAGCAGGAAUGCUGGAGAUGAGAGACCUCGUCUGCUCAGGGGCUUGUUCUUACAUCUUUUGCAGGGCUGUUUUGAAGUCAGUAUUCACUUAAGCACUCCAAAUUACCCAGCACACCCUGCCUGCAUGGCGCUGCGCUGCACCUUCACUCUGGUCACGGGUCUGGCAGUCGGCUCACCAAUUCGUCCUGCUUCCCUGGGACUCGCCGGCUUUUAGCACUGCAAUUCACUCAGCAAACUGGGACUGUUGGUCACCCUACCUGGCAGCCAGUGAUAAGAUUUUGCUGCUCGCCCAUUGCCUGGAUCGGGGGCUACUUUGUAAACCACCAGGAAGACUCCAGUGUUUCUGCUUAAUUUUUAGAUGUUUGUUAAUUGCUCUUGGCCUCUCAUUAAUCCCCUGUGGGUCAUCCAGGAAAUAUACUCACCACUGUC
Molecule: long non-coding RNA, 564 nt
Filed under: Homo sapiens (human)
Lineage: Eukaryota; Metazoa; Chordata; Mammalia; Primates; Hominidae
Description: EOLA1 divergent transcript
Source: RNAcentral